CUGUGUGUAUUUAAAUUAGUAAAUUGUUCUACUAGGAAAGACUCGGAAGACAUGUGCGGCUGUGUCACGCGCAUGCGCAGUGCGCGAGAAGUGUCAGCCGGAUGAGACGUGCAUUAAACAGCUACAAUUUCGGGAAGGAACUGAAACCUGUCUAACGCGCGCGCUGUUCCACACACAGCAUGGAGAUCUGAUCCGGUUCUCACUUCCGGUCCAGUGCAGAAGUUAUUAAACUUGUGGGAUAUCAUGUGAGAGUUAAGAGUUUAUUCAGGGUUUUUUUUUUUAAAUAAAUGAUUGAAAAUGAUCUUUGAGGAACUGAAGUGAGCAGACAGAAAUAAUAAACGCGGCGAACCCGAGUGAACAUGAGUGCUGAAAAGAUCAGAAAAGAUCAGAACGGGUGAAAGGAGAACUUUACACACCCUACACGUUGGCAAAAAGAGAGCAGCGAGUGGUCCCCGCUGUUGCCAUGACAACACACGCAAACCGGUUGCGAUGGAGAGCCGAGGUUGAGCGCAGGAACAACAUCCGCCCGCGACUUUAAAUAAAUCACAAAACAUAAAAAAGCAAAAGACAAACAAUCAGACUGGAGCUUCACCUCACAGUAAAAAGGCCUUUACAGUUUUUGUUCCAAAUCCUGAGAAAAGGAAAGAAAUUCUGAAAAGGUUCUACAUGAAGCUGUCUCUGAAAGAAAACACUCCGCUGUAGAGUAUGUUAAAGGGUUCGCCCAGGGGCACAGGGCACUUUAGGGUACUACAGGGAACUCUGAUAACAGAUCUACUCCGACGUGUGAGACGUGCAGUGAGUUAUGUCUCCACUACACCCAGUCCUGUGGUAGGGAGUCGACAUGAACAGACUACAGGACGACUAAAACCGGUGGAACCAGAUGGACUCUAUUAUUAUUACUCCUACUUCAGCUACUCGGAGCUCAGCCACAUGUUUCCUGAUUUAUUUCCUCAUCUGGAAAAAAAUGCAAAUCUCCUCCUGAAUGUUAGAAUAAACACAAGUAAAGAAUUCAGUUCAUUACAUUUGCAUUCAGCUUCUUCAUGUCUUUUGUGUGUUUCUUUAUGUUCACAGCCAGAACAGCAGCUCUGACAGCCAUGUAGAAUCCUGCAUUCUGAUUGGUCAGGGGGUGUUGAUUAGUUUUCUAUAACAGCAGCUCUGACAGUAGCACAGCUGUACAUCACAGCUUUAUUUAUAAUUAAUGCGCUCGUUCUAAUACGUUAUCGUUCCGUAAUGGCUCAUUCUCAUGGAUGUGUAGUUGAACACGUACUUGAAAUAAAGUGAUGUUUAAUUAACGUGUAUGGAAGGAGUCUCCAGUGUCAGUGCUGUGUAACAGUCAGAGGCAAAGCUGUAACUUGAAGUUUUCCCACAUCUUCAGGACAGAGGAGUUUACACUUCUUUAACAAGCUGCAAUUUUAUUUUUUUUUGUCUUAUUAACUUUAAAAGACAGAGAAUAAAGAGAAAGAAUAAAGAGAGAGAAUAAAGAGGGAAUAAAGAGAGAGAAUAAAGAGAGGGAUGGGGAAGGAACGAGUGUUUAUAGCUGCUGUAACGUAAAUGAGAACUGGAACUGACUCAUUUCACGGACAUUCCACAACAAUAACUUUAACUAUAAACUGAUAAAAAAAUACAAUGUGUCAUUGAAAAUGUUAUUGUUGUCAAAUUGUCAAACUUUACUUUGUUUUGGUUUAUUCUUUAUGUAACUUAUGAGACAUUAUAAAGCAAAGUAAUAAUGGAGUUAUAACUAGAUGAGAGUGAACAAUUUUAAGACAUUGGACUUCUGAUCAGAAGUUUAUGAGUUCAAAUCCCAGUCGCUGGACCCUUAAUCCUCAUCUUCUCAGUUGUAUAAAUAAGAUAAAUGGAUAAGGCUAUAAAUGUAAAUGUAAAUACUAACACAAACACAUUCCACAGACUUACAUUUGUUUUAUAUUGUUGUACAUACUGUAGAACCUCUAAUGGUUCCUCUCUAGGGACAAACUGAACAACUGAAGAGUGAAUAAACAUGGCAUUACUGUUGUGUUUA
Long non-coding RNA from Ictalurus punctatus (channel catfish), 2017 nucleotides. The record is from Ensembl. NCBI's taxonomy places the organism in Eukaryota, Metazoa, Chordata, Actinopteri, Siluriformes, Ictaluridae.